This 558-nucleotide ribosomal RNA is filed under the name bacterium S5-35. RNAcentral describes it as "bacterial SSU rRNA". It matches the Rfam family "Bacterial small subunit ribosomal RNA", at positions 54 to 660 of the family's 1533-position model. The record is from RNAcentral.
CAUGCAGUCGCACGGGCAGCAAUGUCAGUGGCGGACGGGUGAGUACCGCGUAGGGAUGUGUCCAGAGGUGGGGGAUAACUCCGGGAAACUGGAGCUAAUACCGCAUAUGGCCUGAGGGCCAAAGCAGUGAUGCGCCUUUGGAGUAACCUGCGUCCGAUUAGCUAGUUGGUGGGGUAAAGGCCUACCAAGGCGACGAUCGGUAGCUGGUCUGAGAGGACGACCAGCCACACUGGGACUGAGACACGGCCCAGACUCCUACGGGAGGCAGCAGUGGGGAAUAUUGGACAAUGGGCGCAAGCUGAUCCAGCAAUGCCGCGUGGGUGAAGAAGGUCUUCGGAUCGUAAAGCCCUUUCGGCGGGGACGAUGAUGACGGUACCCGCAGAAGAAGCCCCGGCUAACUUCGUGCCAGCAGCCGCGGUAAUACGGAGGGGCUAGCGUUACUCGGGAAUUACUGGGCGUAAAGGGCGCGUAGGCGGCGCUCCAAGUUAGGCGUGAAAGCCCUGGGCUCAACCUGGGGACUGCGCUUAAGACUGGAGUGCUAGAGGAUGGAAGAGGGGU